This 2906-nucleotide ribosomal RNA is filed under the name Escherichia albertii. Its description in RNAcentral is "23S ribosomal RNA". It matches the Rfam family "Bacterial large subunit ribosomal RNA". Lineage: Bacteria; Pseudomonadati; Pseudomonadota; Gammaproteobacteria; Enterobacterales; Enterobacteriaceae. The record is from RNAcentral.
GGUUAAGCGACUAAGCGUACACGGUGGAUGCCCUGGCAGUCAGAGGCGAUGAAGGACGUGCUAAUCUGCGAAAAGCGUCGGUAAGGUGAUAUGAACCGUUAUAACCGGCGAUGUCCGAAUGGGGAAACCCAGUGUGUUUCGACACACUAUCAUUAACUGAAUCCAUAGGUUAAUGAGGCGAACCGGGGGAACUGAAACAUCUAAGUACCCCGAGGAAAAGAAAUCAACCGAGAUUCCCCCAGUAGCGGCGAGCGAACGGGGAGGAGCCCAGAGCCUGAAUCAGUGUGUGUGUUAGUGGAAGCGUCUGGAAAGGCGCGCGAUACAGGGUGACAGCCCCGUACACAAAAAUGCACAUGCUGUGAGCUCGAUGAGUAGGGCGGGACACGUGGUAUCCUGUCUGAAUAUGGGGGGACCAUCCUCCAAGGCUAAAUACUCCUGACUGACCGAUAGUGAACCAGUACCGUGAGGGAAAGGCGAAAAGAACCCCGGCGAGGGGAGUGAAAAAGAACCUGAAACCGUGUACGUACAAGCAGUGGGAGCCCUGAUUUAUCAGGGUGACUGCGUACCUUUUGUAUAAUGGGUCAGCGACUUAUAUUCUGUAGCAAGGUUAACCGAAUAGGGGAGCCGGAGGGAAACCGAGUCUUAACUGGGCGUUAAGUUGCAGGGUAUAGACCCGAAACCCGGUGAUCUAGCCAUGGGCAGGUUGAAGGUUGGGUAACACUAACUGGAGGACCGAACCGACUAAUGUUGAAAAAUUAGCGGAUGACUUGUGGCUGGGGGUGAAAGGCCAAUCAAACCGGGAGAUAGCUGGUUCUCCCCGAAAGCUAUUUAGGUAGCGCCUCGUGAAUUCAUCUCCGGGGGUAGAGCACUGUUUCGGCAAGGGGGUCAUCCCGACUUACCAACCCGAUGCAAACUGCGAAUACCGGAGAAUGUUAUCACGGGAGACACACGGCGGGUGCUAACGUCCGUCGUGAAGAGGGAAACAACCCAGACCGCCAGCUAAGGUCCCAAAGUCAUGGUUAAGUGGGAAACGAUGUGGGAAGGCCCAGACAGCCAGGAUGUUGGCUUAGAAGCAGCCAUCAUUUAAAGAAAGCGUAAUAGCUCACUGGUCGAGUCGGCCUGCGCGGAAGAUGUAACGGGGCUAAACCAUGCACCGAAGCUGCGGCAGCGACGCUGAUGCGUUGUUGGGUAGGGGAGCGUUCUGUAAGCCUGUGAAGGUGUGCUGUGAGGCAUGCUGGAGGUAUCAGAAGUGCGAAUGCUGACAUAAGUAACGAUAAAGCGGGUGAAAAGCCCGCUCGCCGGAAGACCAAGGGUUCCUGUCCAACGUUAAUCGGGGCAGGGUGAGUCGACCCCUAAGGCGAGGCCGAAAGGCGUAGUCGAUGGGAAACAGGUUAAUAUUCCUGUACUUGGUGUUACUGCGAAGGGGGGACGGAGAAGGCUAUGUUGGCCGGGCGACGGUUGUCCCGGUUUAAGCGUGUAGGCUGGUUUUCCAGGCAAAUCCGGAAAAUCAAGGCUGAGGCGUGAUGACGAGGCACUACGGUGCUGAAGCGACAAAUGCCCUGCUUCCAGGAAAAGCCUCUAAGCAUCAGGUAACAUCAAAUCGUACCCCAAACCGACACAGGUGGUCAGGUAGAGAAUACCAAGGCGCUUGAGAGAACUCGGGUGAAGGAACUAGGCAAAAUGGUGCCGUAACUUCGGGAGAAGGCACGCUGAUAUGUAGGUGAAGCGACUUGCUCGUGGAGCUGAAAUCAGUCGAAGAUACCAGCUGGCUGCAACUGUUUAUUAAAAACACAGCACUGUGCAAACACGAAAGUGGACGUAUACGGUGUGACGCCUGCCCGGUGCCGGAAGGUUAAUUGAUGGGGUCAGCGCAAGCGAAGCUCUUGAUCGAAGCCCCGGUAAACGGCGGCCGUAACUAUAACGGUCCUAAGGUAGCGAAAUUCCUUGUCGGGUAAGUUCCGACCUGCACGAAUGGCGUAAUGAUGGCCAGGCUGUCUCCACCCGAGACUCAGUGAAAUUGAACUCGCUGUGAAGAUGCAGUGUACCCGCGGCAAGACGGAAAGACCCCGUGAACCUUUACUAUAGCUUGACACUGAACACUGGUCCUUGAUGUGUAGGAUAGGUGGGAGGCUUUGAAGUGUGGACGCCAGUCUGCAUGGAGCCGUCCUUGAAAUACCACCCUUUAAUGGCUGGUGUUCUAACGUGGGCCCGUAAUCCGGGUUGCGGACAGUGUCUGGUGGGUAGUUUGACUGGGGCGGUCUCCUCCUAAAGAGUAACGGAGGAGCACGAAGGUUGGCUAAUCCUGGUCGGACAUCAGGAGGUUAGUGCAAUGGCAUAAGCCAGCUUGACUGCGAGCGUGACGGCGCGAGCAGGUGCGAAAGCAGGUCAUAGUGAUCCGGUGGUUCUGAAUGGAAGGGCCAUCGCUCAACGGAUAAAAGGUACUCCGGGGAUAACAGGCUGAUACCGCCCAAGAGUUCAUAUCGACGGCGGUGUUUGGCACCUCGAUGUCGGCUCAUCACAUCCUGGGGCUGAAGUAGGUCCCAAGGGUAUGGCUGUUCGCCAUUUAAAGUGGUACGCGAGCUGGGUUUAGAACGUCGUGAGACAGUUCGGUCCCUAUCUGCCGUGGGCGCUGGAGAACUGAGGGGGGCUGCUCCUAGUACGAGAGGACCGGAGUGGACGCAUCACUGGUGUUCGGGUUGUCAUGCCAAUGGCACUGCCCGGUAGCUAAAUGCGGAAGAGAUAAGUGCUGAAAGCAUCUAAGCACGAAACUUGCCCCGAGAUGAGUUCUCCCUGAGACUUAGAGUCUCCUGAAGGAACGUUGAAGACGACGACGUUGAUAGGCCGGGUGUGUAAGCGCAGCGAUGCGUUGAGCUAACCGGUACUAAUGAACCGUGAGGCUUAACCUU